UCCUACGGGAGGCAGCAGUGGGGAAUAUUGGACAAUGGGGGCAACCCUGAUCCAGCCAUGCCGCGUGUGUGAAGAAGGCCCUCGGGUUGUAAAGCACUUUCAGCGAGGAAGAACGCCUAGUGGUUAAUACCCGCUAGGAAAGACAUCACUCGCAGAAGAAGCACCGGCUAACUCCGUGCCAGCAGCCGCGGUAAUACGGAGGGUGCAAGCGUUAAUCGGAAUUACUGGGCGUAAAGCGCGCGUAGGUGGCUUGAUAAGCCGGUUGUGAAAGCCCCGGGCUCAACCUGGGAACGGCAUCCGGAACUGUCAAGCUAGAGUGCAGGAGAGGAAGGUAGAAUUCCCGGUGUAGCGGUGAAAUGCGUAGAGAUCGGGAGGAAUACCAGUGGCGAAGGCGGCCUUCUGGACUGACACUGACACUGAGGUGCGAAAGCGUGGGUAGCAAACAGGAUUAGAUACCCUGGUAGUCCACGCCGUAAACGAUGUCGACCAGCCGUUGGGUGCCUAGCGCACUUUGUGGCGAAGUUAACGCGAUAAGUCGACCGCCUGGGGAGUACGGCCGCAAGGUUAAAACUCAAAUGAAUUGACGG
Molecule: ribosomal RNA, 587 nt
Filed under: uncultured bacterium
Lineage: Bacteria
Description: bacterial SSU rRNA
Rfam family: Bacterial small subunit ribosomal RNA
Source: RNAcentral